UACGAAGGGGGCUAGCGUUGUUCGGAUUUACUGGGCGUAAAGCGCACGUAGGCGGCUUUGUAAGUUAGAGGUGAAAGCCCGGGGCUCAGCUCCGGAAUUGCCUUUAAGACUGCAUCGCUAGAAUUGUGGAGAGGUAAGUGGAAUUCCGAGUGUAGAGGUGAAAUUCGUAGAUAUUCGGAAGAACACCAGUGGCGAAGGCGACUCACUGGACACGUAUUGACGCUGAGGAGCGAAAGCGUGGGGAGCGAACAGG
This 253-nucleotide ribosomal RNA is filed under the name uncultured bacterium. RNAcentral's name for it is "partial 16S ribosomal RNA". It matches the Rfam family "Bacterial small subunit ribosomal RNA", at positions 524 to 776 of the family's 1533-position model. The record is from RNAcentral.